This 387-nucleotide long non-coding RNA is filed under the name Rattus norvegicus (Norway rat). RNAcentral describes it as "long non-coding RNA NONRATT002681". Lineage: Eukaryota; Metazoa; Chordata; Mammalia; Rodentia; Muridae. The record is from RNAcentral.
GUCAUCUUGUUUGGAGAAUGGGGGAGAACCGGAAGUCCUUACUCGCUCUUCCCCACCCAGCUCUCCUCAUGGCCAGUCAGCUUCUGAACCGUGCUCCUGGCUCAUCCUGGGAUCCCAUUCUGGCAACCAGGCCUGUUGUCUCUGGCUUGGGCAAGUGCCACACUCCCCUACCUUCUGAGCUGCCUGCCUUGCUUCUUUCAAGACUCAGCCUUACGGCUGCUUUUGCAGGGAGCGCACACCUGUCUGAGUUCCUGUGGCAGGCUUUUCAGUCGCCUUCUUAGGAAAUGGGCCAGCUUUGCAAGGCUGGCACACAAGCCUCUCUACAAAGCCUUUGCGUAGAAGCCCCCACACAAAGCCUGUCCAUCUGUGCCCUUGCCUCAGCUCACU